RNAcentral lists this ribosomal RNA (422 nucleotides) under Verrucomicrobiota bacterium. RNAcentral's name for it is "Verrucomicrobia bacterium partial 16S ribosomal RNA". It matches the Rfam family "Bacterial small subunit ribosomal RNA", at positions 355 to 776 of the family's 1533-position model. Lineage: Bacteria; Pseudomonadati; Verrucomicrobiota. The record is from RNAcentral.
UGGGGAAUUUUGCACAAUGGGCGCAAGCCUGAUGCAGCGACGCCGCGUGAGGGAUGAAGGCCUUCGGGUUGUAAACCUUUUUCGCUCAUGGUCAAGCCGCAGCUUUGGGUUGUGGUGAGGGUAGUGGGUAAAGAAGCGCCGGCUCACUACGUGCCAGCAGCCGCGGUAAUACGUAGGGCGCGAGCGUUGUCCGGAAUUAUUGGGCGUAAAGGGCUUGUAGGCGGUUGGCCGCGUCUGCCGUGAAAUCCUCUGGCUUAACUGGGGGCGUGCGGUGGGUACGGGUUGACUUGAGUGCGGUAGGGGAGACUGGAAUUCCUGGUGUAGCGGUGGAAUGCGCAGAUAUCAGGAGGAACACCGGUGGCGAAGGAGGGUCUCUGGGCCGUUACUGACGCUGAGGAGCGAAAGCGUGGGGAGCGAACAGG